AGAGUUUGAUCCUGGCUCAGGACGAACGCUGGCGGCGUGCCUAAUACGUGCAAGUAGAACGCUGAAGGGAGGAGCUUGCUCUUUCCGGAUGAGUUGCGAACGGGUGAGUAACGCGUAGGUAACCUGCCUGGUAGCGGGGGAUAACUAUUGGAAACGAUAGCUAAUACCGCAUAACAGUAGAUAUCGCAUGAUAGCUGCUUGAAAGGUGCAAAUGCACCACUACCAGAUGGACCUGCGUUGUAUUAGCUAGUUGGUGAGGUAACGGCUCACCAAGGCCACGAUACAUAGCCGACCUGAGAGGGUGAUCGGCCACACUGGGACUGAGACACGGCCCAGACUCCUACGGGAGGCAGCAGUAGGGAAUCUUCGGCGAUGGACGGAAGUCUGACCGAGCAACGCCGCGUGAGUGAAGAAGGUUUUCGGAUCGUAAAGCUCUGUUGUAAGAGAAGAACGAGUGUGAGAGUGGAAAGUUCACACUGUGACGGUAUCUUACCAGAAAGGGACGGCUAACUACGUGCCAGCAGCCGCGGUAAUACGUAGGUCCCGAGCGUUGUCCGGAUUUAUUGGGCGUAAAGCGAGCGCAGGCGGUCAGAUAAGUCUGAAGUUAAAGGCUGUGGCUUAACCAUAGUACGCUUUGGAAACUGUUUAACUUGAGUGCAAGAGGGGAGAGUGGAAUUCCAUGUGUAGCGGUGAAACGCGUAGAUAUAUGGAGGAACACCGGUGGCGAAAGCGGCU
This 735-nucleotide ribosomal RNA is filed under the name uncultured bacterium. RNAcentral describes it as "bacterial SSU rRNA". It matches the Rfam family "Bacterial small subunit ribosomal RNA", at positions 8 to 726 of the family's 1533-position model. The record is from RNAcentral.